UUAGAAGGACAGGACUCGAACCCGCACUUAAGAACUCAAAACUCCUAGUACUUCAUUAUACUACCAUCUA
RNAcentral lists this transfer RNA (70 nucleotides) under Phymaturus somuncurensis. RNAcentral's name for it is "tRNA-Gln". Lineage: Eukaryota; Metazoa; Chordata; Lepidosauria; Squamata. The record is from RNAcentral.